GGUGCUGCACAUGACCUCAUCCACUCAGUGGUAGGUAUUGGUGCUGCACAACACCUCAUCCACUCAGUGGUAGGUUUUGGUGCUGCACAUCACCUCAUCCACUCAGUGGUAGGUUUUGGUGCUGCACAACACCUCAUCCACUCAGUGGUAGGUUUUGGUGCUGCACAUGACCUCAUCCACUCAGUGGUAGGUAUUGGUGCUGCACAACACCUCAUCCACUCAGUGGUAGGUAUUGGUGCUGCACAACACCUCAUCCACUCAGUGGUAGGUAUUGGUGCUGCAUAUCACCUCAUCCACUCAGUGGUAGGUAUUGGUGCUGCACAUGACCUCAUCCACUCACUGGUACAGUAGGUUAAGCAUUGUUUCUUGCCUUUUUAAAUAUCACAACAGUGCUUUCUUUGAAUAAAGGUUUGGAUGGUCCAAUUUUCAAAGGUCUCUAUCGUUGUUAUUGCAAUGUAGGGCAAACUAAGACACUAACAAAAUUAACAUUUGGCUUCAUUGACAUGUACCCCAUAUAGACAUUGUACUGAA
This is a long non-coding RNA of Oncorhynchus tshawytscha (Chinook salmon), 531 nucleotides long. NCBI's taxonomy places the organism in Eukaryota, Metazoa, Chordata, Actinopteri, Salmoniformes, Salmonidae. The record is from Ensembl.